ACUCCUACGGGAGGCAGCAGUAGGGAAUCUUCCACAAUGGGCGCAAGCCUGAUGGAGCAACACCGCGUGAGUGAAGAAGGGUUUCGGCUCGUAAAGCUCUGUUAUUAAAGAAGAACACGUAUGAGAGUAACUGUUCAUACGUUGACGGUAUUUAACCAGAAAGUCACGGCUAACUACGUGCCAGCAGCCGCGGUAAUACGUAGGUGGCAAGCGUUAUCCGGAUUUAUUGGGCGUAAAGAGAGUGCAGGCGGUUUUCUAAGUCUGAUGUGAAAGCCUUCGGCUUAACCGGAGAAGUGCAUCGGAAACUGGAUAACUUGAGUGCAGAAGAGGUAGUGGAACUCCAUGUGUAGCGGUGGAAUGCGUAGAUAUAUGGAAGAACACCAGUGGCGAAGGCGGCUACCUGGUCUGCAACUGACGCUGAGACUCGAAAGCAUGGGUAGCGAACAGGAUUAGAUACCCCUGGUAGGAUAGCG
Molecule: ribosomal RNA, 473 nt
Filed under: uncultured bacterium
Lineage: Bacteria
Description: bacterial SSU rRNA
Rfam family: Bacterial small subunit ribosomal RNA
Source: RNAcentral